RNAcentral lists this ribosomal RNA (253 nucleotides) under uncultured bacterium. RNAcentral describes it as "partial 16S ribosomal RNA". It matches the Rfam family "Bacterial small subunit ribosomal RNA", at positions 524 to 776 of the family's 1533-position model. The record is from RNAcentral.
UACGUAGGGUGCGAGCGUUGUUCGGAAUUACUGGGCGUAAAGGGCUCGUAGGUGGCCAACUAAGUCAGACGUGAAAUCCCUCGGCUUAACCGGGGAACUGCGUCUGAUACUGGAUGGCUUGAGUUUGGGAGAGGGACGCGGAAUUCCAGGUGUAGCGGUGAAAUGCGUAGAUAUCUGGAGGAACACCGGUGGCGAAGGCGGCGUCCUGGACCAACACUGACACUGAGGAGCGAAAGCCAGGGGAGCAAACGGG